UAAAAUGGCCGUACUGCCCAAAGUAGGCCCCAGUUUCUAUCGUUACCAUCCUUAUGUCCGGAGUAACCAAUGUUUACUUCCCACUUAUAAGAUAUAUACCCAGUAAUGACUGAUCGACUUACAACAGUGAUAUAAUUCUGGAAUUUUCUUCUGUUUUGCAAUUUUGACUUGGAGUGCUGAUCUCCCACAUGUCAUUAUUUCAACUAGCCCUAAAUGAAAGAAACAACAUAAUUAAUAAAGUCAUUCUCAAAUAUGGGCAAUUAUGUAUUAUCAAACACCUAAACAUCUAGAUUCAACUUGGCAAAAGAAAAGCAAAUUUUCUUCCCCUUUCACAUCGUUUAUUUAGAUUUUGACGGAUUAUUUUUAAAGAAGGUUGUUCAAAUUUAUAUGAACUAACUUUUCUCGCCAGCAGCAUGUGAACUAGAUAAUUCUUUUGGUAAGGCUGUACAGUGAAGUCCAAGAUGUUAGCUGCUUCCUUCGUCUCUACUCACUGAUGCCAGUAGUACCUCAUAUUUGUGGCAA
Molecule: long non-coding RNA, 522 nt
Filed under: Homo sapiens (human)
Lineage: Eukaryota; Metazoa; Chordata; Mammalia; Primates; Hominidae
Description: HSALNT0321552
Source: RNAcentral